CGGAGGGUGCAAGCGUUAUCCGGAUUUAUUGGGUUUAAAGGGUCCGUAGGCGGAUCCGUAAGUCAGUGGUGAAAUCUCACAGCUUAACUGUGAAACUGCCAUUGAUACUGCGGGUCUUGAGUAAGGUAGAAGUGGCUGGAAUAAGUAGUGUAGCGGUGAAAUGCAUAGAUAUUACUUAGAACACCAAUUGCGAAGGCAGGUCACUAUGUCUUAACUGACGCUGAUGGACGAAAGCGUGGGGAGCGAACAGGAUUAGAUACCCUGGUAGUCCACACCGUAAACGAUGCUAACUCGUUCUUGGGCUUUCGGGUUCAGAGACUAAGCGAAAGUGAUAAGUUAGCCACCUGGGGAGUACGUUCGCAAGAAUG
Molecule: ribosomal RNA, 368 nt
Filed under: uncultured organism
Description: bacterial SSU rRNA
Rfam family: Bacterial small subunit ribosomal RNA
Source: RNAcentral